AUUGAACGCUGGCGGCAGGCCUAACACAUGCAAGUCGAACGGUAACAGGAAGCAGCUUGCUGCUUCGCUGACGAGUGGCGGACGGGUGAGUAAUGUCUGGGAAACUGCCUGAUGGAGGGGGAUAACUACUGGAAACGGUAGCUAAUACCGCAUAACGUCGCAAGACCAAAGAGGGGGACCUUAGGGCCUCUUUCCAUCGGAUGUGCCCAGAUGGCAUUAGCUAGUAGGUGGGGUAACGGCUCACCUAGGCGACGAUCCCUAGCUGGUCUGAGAGGAUGACCAGCCACACUGGAACUGAGACACGGUCCAGACUCCUACGGGAGGCAGCAGUGGGGAAUAUUGCACAAUGGGCGCAAGCCUGAUGCAGCCAUGCCGCGUGUAUGAAGAAGGCCUUCGGGUUGUAAAGUACUUUCAGCGGGGAGGAAGGGAGUAAAGUUAAUACCUUUGCGCAUUGACGUUACCCGCAGAAGAAGCACCGGCUAACUCCGUG
RNAcentral lists this ribosomal RNA (490 nucleotides) under uncultured bacterium. Its description in RNAcentral is "partial 16S ribosomal RNA". It matches the Rfam family "Bacterial small subunit ribosomal RNA", at positions 30 to 507 of the family's 1533-position model. The record is from RNAcentral.